Molecule: transfer RNA, 67 nt
Filed under: Macrima straminea
Lineage: Eukaryota; Metazoa; Arthropoda; Insecta; Coleoptera; Chrysomelidae
Description: tRNA-Met
Rfam family: tRNA
About the family: Transfer RNA (tRNA) molecules are approximately 80 nucleotides in length.
Source: RNAcentral
AAAGAAAUAAGCUAAAUAAGCUACUGGGUUCAUACCCCAUUUAUAAAGGUUAAUCCUUUUUUCUUUA